GAGGGUAUAGCUCAGUGGUAGAGCACAAGCUUAGCAUGCACAAGGUCCUGGGUUAAAUCCUCAGUACCUCCA
This 72-nucleotide transfer RNA is filed under the name Camelus bactrianus (Bactrian camel). It matches the Rfam family "tRNA". Rfam says of the family: Transfer RNA (tRNA) molecules are approximately 80 nucleotides in length. Their secondary structure includes four short double-helical elements and three loops (D, anti-codon, and T loops). RNAcentral also lists the same sequence under 1 other name. The record is from Rfam by way of RNAcentral. Lineage: Eukaryota; Metazoa; Chordata; Mammalia; Artiodactyla; Camelidae.